AAAUCGGCCCUUUUCAGGGCCAACCUAUAUAUUAAGAAGAGUAUAGG
Non-coding RNA from Ciona intestinalis (vase tunicate), 47 nucleotides. The record is from Rfam. NCBI's taxonomy places the organism in Eukaryota, Metazoa, Chordata, Ascidiacea, Phlebobranchia, Cionidae.